AGGAUGAUAAAGGGAAGAAUUUGAGCAUAAUUGGAAGUCGAAGCUGCCGAAACAAGCUAAGUACGAUCAUGAGGAAGCUGAACAUGGCCGUGUUGGUUUCAACACUGGCCGUGUUCCCAACACGGUCGUGUUGGGUGUCAUCAAACAUAAAAGAAAAAUAAGUUCUUAGGGAGCACGACCAUAGAGAGUAACACAGCCAGGAACACCAAACCGUGUUCCCAACACGGCCGAGGUGGCGGCG
Molecule: long non-coding RNA, 241 nt
Filed under: Ricinus communis (castor bean)
Lineage: Eukaryota; Viridiplantae; Streptophyta; Magnoliopsida; Malpighiales; Euphorbiaceae
Description: long non-coding RNA (RCOM_LNC000898)
Source: RNAcentral